RNAcentral lists this unclassified non-coding RNA (355 nucleotides) under soil metagenome. Its description in RNAcentral is "partial contains 5.8S ribosomal RNA, internal transcribed spacer 2, and large subunit ribosomal RNA". The stretch from base 1 to 120 matches the Rfam family "5.8S ribosomal RNA", at positions 35 to 154 of the family's 154-position model. The record is from RNAcentral.
GAUGAAGAACGUAGCGAAAUGCGAUAAGUAAUGUGAAUUGCAGAAUUCCGUGAAUCAUCGAAUCUUUGAACGCACAUUGCGCCCCCUGGCAUUCCGGGGGGCAUGCCUGUCCGAGCGUCAUUUCUGCCCUCCAGCCCGGCUGGGUGUUGGGCGCUGUCCCCCCGGGGACACGCCCCAAAGGCAGUGGCGGCGCCGCGUCGGGUCCUCGAGCGUAUGGGGCUUUGUCACCCGCUCGGGACGGACUCGUCGGCGCUGGUCUUCCUCCAGGCGACCCUUCGGGGCUCGUCUUCCUUCGGUUGACCUCGGAUCAGGUAGGGUUACCCGCUGAACUUAAGCAUAUCAAUAAGCGGAGGAA